AGCGAACGCUGGCGGCAGGCUUAACACAUGCAAGUCGAACGGUAAGGCUCUUCGGGGUACACGAGUGGCGAACGGGUGAGUAACACGUGGGUGAUCUGCCCUGCACUUCGGGAUAAGCCUGGGAAACUGGGUCUAAUACCGGAUAGGACCACUGCCUGCAUGGGUGGGGGUGGACAGCUUUUGCGGUGUGGGAUGGGCCCGCGGCCUAUCAGCUUGUGGGUGGGGUGAUGGCCUACCAAGGCGACGACGGGUAGCCGGCCUGAGAGGGUGACCGGCCAGACCGGGACUGAGAUACGGCCCAGACGCCUACGGGAGGCAGCAGUGGGGAAUAUUGCACAAGGGGCGCAAGCCUGAUGCAGCGACGCCGCGUGAGGGAUGACGGCCUUCGGGUUGUAAACCUCUUUCAGCACCGACGAAGCGCAAGUGACGGUAGGUGCAGAAGAAGGACCGGCCAACUACGUGCCAGCCGCCGCGGUAA
This 478-nucleotide ribosomal RNA is filed under the name uncultured bacterium. RNAcentral's name for it is "partial 16S ribosomal RNA". It matches the Rfam family "Bacterial small subunit ribosomal RNA", at positions 30 to 523 of the family's 1533-position model. The record is from RNAcentral.